AAUGCCACAGGCUUCUCCAAACCUAUAAACAUGACCACACACUUGUCUGUUCUCACUACCUUGGUUUUUGUCUCUCCUCUUCAUGCAGUUGGAGGAGGGGCAGACAAAAGGCCGAUUGAGGACCGUGCACCGAACUGGACCUGGAUCUGUGAAAGUGAGGUGACUUGUGAGAGUCGGUAUCUCUCAACAUAUACUAUGAGAUAAUUUUUUCAGCUAUAUUUGAGUUUAAAAAGUUGCUGGUAAAUACUGUGAAUAUAAAGAUUCCAAACACCCAAUCCCCAAGUCUGGUUUUGUUAGCAUUUCCUUUGAGUUAAGGUGACAGAGAGUGGGUCGAUCCAUCAGAAGUAAAUGCCAGUGUAUGUUGUGAUUUGUUGUCGUGCUAAUUUUUUUAUUUAUCAAGGCCGCCGUUGACAAAACAAUCAGAUCACACUCAUAAAUUCUGUACUUCAGUUACAGGUUAAAUUCCGAUGUAGUUUUAUUACCUAAGUUCAACACAUAGGGUCACAUUAAAUAAUUUGUUUUCUUUCAAUCUGAGUUCAAAUAAAUCAAGAGUGGUUUGCUUAAAUAAAUUGUGGUAAUCACCGCACCACUGCGCCCAAACAUAUAAUUAUUUCCACCCUUCAAAUAUGCGUAUGACUCAUCCACAAAACGUUGUUCUGUACUUUCUGUAAGUGCCAUUAUGUCAGUAUGUUAUUGGCCAUGUCAAAACCAGUUGUGAGCUAUUAGGAAGUGAAUUAUCUGAGAGGAAAAUCAAUCGCACAUUGAGCGGCUUCUGUCUGGUAAGAUCCUUUGAUCCUCUUUAGAGUUAUUUCAGGGAUGUGUUGGUGUGUCAGUCUGCUAACGUGCAUGAUAAUGAAACAAUGUGUUCUGUCUCCUGCCAACUCUCCUGUUUUCUUUUAGUAUGACAAUCUGAAAUGACUCCAUGGCAGAACACGUGCAGAACUGUAAUGACGAAUACAAAGUCCGCUUUUACACAACUUUUAUCCGAGAAGCCAAUUUUUUUUAUUGUUUGCACGGACAGAUUGUGCGUAUGUGCGGUUUAUUUGUGUAACUUGUAACUGUCACCAGAUCGCAAUUACGAGUGCAACCGCAUGUACCGACAACAGGAAGUGUGUGUUUGUUUAAACCGGGAUCUCUUGACACAGUAUCUGUGUUUACAGCGUCUAUCCACGCCACUGUCAUCACUGAACCCAACACACUCAGUGGGGGGUAUCAGUGGUGUGUCUGUGUUGCCUCAGUGGAUGU
Long non-coding RNA from Pleuronectes platessa (European plaice), 1245 nucleotides. RefSeq lists it as uncharacterized. The transcript has 2 exons. Lineage: Eukaryota; Metazoa; Chordata; Actinopteri; Pleuronectiformes; Pleuronectidae. The record is from RefSeq and is a predicted model, not a curated record.